GGGUAACGGCCCACCGAGGCGACGAUGUCUAGGGGUUCUGAGAGGAAGGUCCCCCACACUGGUACUGAGACACGGACCAGACUCCUACGGGAGGCAGCAGUGAGGAAUAUUGGUCAAUGGGCUUACGCCUGAACCAGCCAAGUCGCGUGAGGGAAGACUGCCCUAUGGGUUGUAAACCUCUUUUGUCAGGGAGCAACGCCGGCUACGUGUAGCCGGACUGAGAGUACCUGAAGAAAAAGCAUCGGCUAACUCCGUGCCAGCAGCCGCGGUAAUACGGAGGAUGCGAGCGUUAUCCGGAUUUAUUGGGUUUAAAGGGUGCGUAGGCGGAAUGCCAAGUCAGCGGUAAAAUCGCGGGGCUCAACCUCGCUCCGCCGUUGAAACUGGCGUUCUUGAGUGGGCGAGAAGUAUGCGGAAUGCGUGGUGUAGCGGUGAAAUGCAUAGAUAUCACGCAGAACUCCGAUUGCGAAGGCAGCAUACCGGCGCCCAACUGACGCUGAAGCACGAAAGCGUGGGUAUCGAACAGGAUUAGAUACCCUGGUAGUCCACGCAGUAAACGAUGAAUACUAGCUGUUCGGGGCAAUUGGGCCUUGAGUGGC
RNAcentral lists this ribosomal RNA (596 nucleotides) under uncultured bacterium. RNAcentral's name for it is "bacterial SSU rRNA". It matches the Rfam family "Bacterial small subunit ribosomal RNA", at positions 255 to 847 of the family's 1533-position model. The record is from RNAcentral.